This 233-nucleotide ribosomal RNA is filed under the name uncultured bacterium. RNAcentral describes it as "partial 16S ribosomal RNA". It matches the Rfam family "Bacterial small subunit ribosomal RNA", at positions 118 to 347 of the family's 1533-position model. The record is from RNAcentral.
UGAGUAACCUGCCCUCAGCUUUGGGAUAACCCUCGGAAACGGGGGCUAAUACCGGGUAUUCAUUUCCUGCGGCAUCGUGGGGGGUGGAAAGUUUUUGCGGCUGGGGAUGGGCUCGCGGCCUAUCAGCUUGUUGGUGGGGUAAUGGCCUACCAAGGCGGCGACGGGUAGCCGGCCUGAGAGGGCGACCGGCCACACUGGGACUGAGACACGGCCCAGACCUCCGUACGGGAGCA